This 498-nucleotide long non-coding RNA is filed under the name Equus asinus (donkey). RNAcentral's name for it is "lncRNA (ENSEASG00005033758.1)". Lineage: Eukaryota; Metazoa; Chordata; Mammalia; Perissodactyla; Equidae. The record is from RNAcentral.
AACUGAGUGAAUAAUCAACAGGCCCACGUGGAAACUCAAUUUUAGCUGAGGGACUCCAGAACAUCCACUUGUGUACCAGGGGAGAAAACCAAGACAAUGCAGUAUGAGAAAUUCUUCUUCUUUGGAACUCUCUGAGCGUCCUGGAUUUGGAUGUCUGUUUCUUGCACCAGUUGUGUGGGACCUAUGAAUGCAAGCCCUGCUGGUCACCAGAGCCAGGCAUUUGAGAGAGGGAAUUGCUCCAUGUGUAGCUGUAGAUUUGGUGUGUCCUUGGGAAGAGGUAAGUUCAGGAGCCUCCUAUGUGGCCAUCUUGGACCAGAACUCUGAAAAUUAAUGAAAAUCAAAGAAAGGAGUUUUGUUGAAUCUUCUAAGGGAAAUAAAAAUGGAAAUAUAAUCUCUCAGUAAAAAUUCUUUUAAAGUUAAAUCCAUUAUAUAGACUUUUUGUGACAAAAGCUUAAAGAGAAACAAUUAUUGGCACAGAAUUACCAUUAACAGAAGAAC